Molecule: long non-coding RNA, 1667 nt
Organism: Oryctolagus cuniculus (rabbit)
Lineage: Eukaryota; Metazoa; Chordata; Mammalia; Lagomorpha; Leporidae
Source: Ensembl
GCCCUCCGCCCCGAAAUCGGCCAGUGAAGUGCGCCCGUGGGUGCCCCCUUCCUCGCCUCCCCGUCACGUGUGCGCUCGGUGGUCGCGAGAGCUCUGUCUGUGUGCUGAUUGACGCCUGACUGUGAGUGAGGGUGGGGGCCAAGGUGUGUCCGGGUUCCCACCUGUCACGCCGGAGACGGCCCGUGGAUGCUCGUGGAAUGAAUGAAGAACACGCGUGGAGCUGCUCUGUGCGGUGCGGCGGUCGUGGGCCGCCCUCCGAGCGUGCCUCCACGGGAGGACGCGGCCGCGCACUGAAGCCCCGUGCCGCGCUGUCCCCGCGGGCUGCCCGGUCCACGGUCCCGGGUGGUGGGAUCCCGCUGGCUUCCCGGCCCCGGCCCCGGCUUGUGCCAUCCCGCGGGCUUCCCGGCCCACAGCCCCGGGUCGUGCGAUGCCGCGGGCUUCCCAGUCCACGGUCCCCAGUUGUGCCAUCCCGCGGGCUUCCUGGCCCACGACCCCGGCUUGUGCCAUCCCGCAGGCUUCCCAGUCCAUUGUCCCCAGUUGUGCCAUUCCGCGGGCUUCCCGGUGCACGGACCCUGGUUGUGCCAUCCCACGGGCUUCCCGGCGCACAGCCCCGGGUUGUGCCAUCCCAUGGGCUUCCCGGCCCACAGCCCCGGGUCGUGCGAUCCCGCUGGCUUCCCGGUCCGCGGUCCCCGGUCCCCGGUUGUGCCAUCCCGCGGGCUUCCUGGUCCACAGCCCCGGCUUGUGCCAUCCCACGGGCUUCCCGGUCCACGGUCCCGGGUUGUGCCAUCCGGCGGGCUUCCUGGUCCACGGUCCCGGGUUGUGCCAUCCCGUGGGCUUCCCGGUCCACGGCCCCGGGUCGUGCGAUCCCGCAGGCUUCCUGGCCCACGGCCCCGGGUUGUGCGAUCCCCAGGCUUCCUGGGCCAUGGUCCGGGGUUGCGCAGCCACAGGGACGCGCGGCGGGCACCGCGACCUCGGGCGAUUUCUGGGCGGACAUCUAGAGGGUGCUGACCCAGCGGUUCAGGCUGCUGCUACCUGAGGUGCACCCUCUGCGAGGUGGACACAUUGGCCACCGGCAGCCGAAGGGGAACAUGUUUGGGCUUACAAAAAAGACAGCCAGCCAAGGGCACAGCCCAGACAGCAGACAAGGGAGGAGUCGGGGUGACGCGUGACGCCUCUCACUGGGUCUUGGCGCGUCAGCAUCUGAGGAGAGUGGGGAGGUUCUCGGGUUCUGACGAGGGGGCCAGCGUGCGCUCGAACCUGGGCUGGGCACAGGGACGCUUUCAUCCGCGCAGUGCUCGGUGGGGUCCGCCGCCACACUGUGUGCCCUUGGGCCGUGACUUCCCCUCUCUGGCCUCAGUGCCCUCACCUGUACACACACGGAGGCUAAAGUCAGUUCCUGGGGCAGGCGUGCAGCACGCCACAUCCCAUCUGAGUGCUGAAGCCAGCAUUGCCAAGGCACGCGCUGCAGGACAGCCGAUGGUAGCUCACGCGCUGCCUUCCCUGUCACCCACGCGGGAGGAAGACCAGAACUGAGGCCCAGGUGCCCGGUUUCAGCUUGACUCUGGCUGUCGGAGGCAUUUGGGAAGUGAACCAGUGGAUGCAGAAGUCUGUCUCUGUGUCUCUGCCUUUCAAAUAAAUAACAGAUCAGUUAAAAUUAAAAAAAAAUC